GGAUGGUCGAUAUGACAUGUAUGCAUUAAACAAUUGAUUCUACAGAAAGCUAAACACAAGGAUUCAUUAGUGUCUAAAAUGAAGCUAGAUUAUAAAAGUCCUAGUUACUACUUUGAAUGAUGCUAUGCCAGAAUAACCUUCUUCAGUUUAAUCACACUGAUUCUAACAUUGACUCAUGACUAGGUGCAAUGACCUUAUUCACAUCAUUACAAAUAAGAGACAGUCAGGCAACAUCUAAAAUUCAAUUACAAAAUACCCUGUGAUUCCCAACUUGAUUUCAAAUGACUAACGUCCAAUGAAAACGAAAUCGAACUGACUAGGAUAUUAAACUAUUUGAUACUACAACUACUAAUGAAUGAACAAAAUCGAAUAGUUUCAACCAGCCCACAUUAUACAAACCAUAACAAGUCCUAGUUUAAUUACGACAUCCAAAACAUAACAGAAUUAUUUGAACUGCAGUUCCACUUCAGAACAAAAACCUCAAUUUCAUUUCAUUUGUCAAUAGAUGAAGCUACAACAACACAAUCUCAAAAUGUGUACCUGGAAUUGGAAGAGAAAUGAAAUAGAAGAAGUCAGUUGAAGCAAUAACUGAGCAGCAACAGCAGUAAGCAAUUUCCAGCAAAAAAAAUCAAACCAGUGUUAAGAUUGAAAAAAAAAUCACAACUAACCAACAAUUUAGGAGAAUUAUUCAUUGACUAAAUCAUAAGAAGAAGCAGGGAACACAUGAAGAUAUAAAAAAAAUGAGGACUCACAGCUUGACUCGAAUUCUUUGGUUCAAAAUUUGACCAUCUUGGGCAUGAAUUGAACAUCAAUGACAGCGAAUUCUUCAUGAAGGGAAUGAGGAGACCGUGUAGUACCAAUUGGGUAGUUUUUAGAGACAUUAGAAUUUCCGGCCAACUUUGAACUAAUAUUCGAGCCAUUCGACUGAUAUUUGAGGGAAACCAGUGGGAGAUUCUAGUAGAGGAGAACUAGGAGAGCACAGGGUGUUAAUUUGGGGUGGUUUGGACGGAGGUGUGUUGUGGCCGGAGUUUUUCGAUCCAAGAUUUGAAGGCUUUGGCUGGGAUUCGAGAAAAACUAAUAUGGGGUUUGGAAAGAGGAGGAGAAGACGAGUUGAGGGUGUAUUUUUGGGAGGGAUUGGAGCUUCGCCGCCGCCGGCGACGAUUUCCGGCGGACGGCGGACGGCGGAGGCACGGCGGCAUUACAGAGGGAGUGUACGAGGAAGACGAAAAUGUUUUUU
RNAcentral lists this long non-coding RNA (1237 nucleotides) under Nicotiana tabacum (common tobacco). Its description in RNAcentral is "long non-coding RNA (NTAB_LNC007152)". Lineage: Eukaryota; Viridiplantae; Streptophyta; Magnoliopsida; Solanales; Solanaceae. The record is from RNAcentral.